UAACCAUGGUGAGGACAAGAUUUUCGAAGGUCCUUGAACCUAUCCCGAGCUUCAUAUAAUGUCUCAUCCAUCUCUUAAGAUAAAUUAGCUAUCUUCCUCCUAGUUU
This is a non-coding RNA of Beta vulgaris subsp. vulgaris (sugar beet), 106 nucleotides long. The record is from Rfam. NCBI's taxonomy places the organism in Eukaryota, Viridiplantae, Streptophyta, Magnoliopsida, Caryophyllales, Amaranthaceae.